This 111-nucleotide non-coding RNA is filed under the name Lysobacterales bacterium. RNAcentral's name for it is "Xanthomonadales bacterium Glycine sequence". It matches the Rfam family "Glycine riboswitch aptamer". Rfam says of the family: This family represents the bacterial glycine riboswitch. Glycine riboswitches usually consist of two metabolite-binding aptamers domains with similar structures in tandem. The aptamers cooperatively bind glycine to regulate the expression of downstream genes. The record is from RNAcentral. Lineage: Bacteria; Pseudomonadati; Pseudomonadota; Gammaproteobacteria; Lysobacterales.
GCAGACAACUCUGGAGAGACCGGCUGCCACGAUCGGCAAGCACCGGCGCCGAAGGGGCAAGAGGCAGGUUCCUGCCUCCAAACUCUCAGGCAAAAGGACAGAGGGGCGCCC